Molecule: ribosomal RNA, 498 nt
Filed under: uncultured bacterium
Lineage: Bacteria
Description: partial 16S ribosomal RNA
Rfam family: Bacterial small subunit ribosomal RNA
Source: RNAcentral
AUUGAAUGCUGGCGGCAUGCUUUACACAUGCAAGUCGGACGGUAACAGGCCGCAAGGUGCUGACGAGUGGCGAACGGGUGAGUAAUGCAUCGGAACGUGCCCAGUCGUGGGGGAUAACGCAGCGAAAGCUGCGCUAAUACCGCAUACGAUCUCUGGAUGAAAGCGGGGGACCGAAAGGCCUCGCGCGAUUGGAGCGGCCGAUGUCAGAUUAGGUAGUUGGUGGGGUAAAGGCCCACCAAGCCAACGAUCUGUAGCUGGUCUGAGAGGACGACCAGCGACACUGGGACUGAGACACGGCCCAGACUCCUACGGGAGGCAGCAGUGGGGAAUUUUGGACAAUGGGCGCAAGCCUGAUCCAGCAAUGCCGCGUGCAGGAAGAAGGCCUUCGGGUUGUAAACUGCUUUUGUACGGAACGAAACGGUCCGGGUUAAUACCCUGGGCUAAUGACGGUACCGUAAGAAUAAGCACCGGCUAACUACGUGCCAGCAGCCGCGGUAA